RNAcentral lists this ribosomal RNA (376 nucleotides) under uncultured bacterium. Its description in RNAcentral is "bacterial SSU rRNA". It matches the Rfam family "Bacterial small subunit ribosomal RNA", at positions 29 to 405 of the family's 1533-position model. The record is from RNAcentral.
AUUGAACGCUGGCGGCGUGCUUAACACAUGCAAGUCGAGCGGCAGCGGGCCCGCAAGGGUGCCGGCGAGCGGCGGACGGGUGAGCAAUACAUAGGAAUCUGCCUCAGAGCGGGGGAUAGCCAGGGGAAACCCUGAUUAAUACCGCAUGACGUCGAGAGACCAAAGUGGGGGAUCGUAAGACCUCACACUCUGAGAUGAGCCUAUGUCGGAUUAGCUAGUUGGCGGGGUAACGGCCCACCAAGGCGACGAUCCGUAGCUGGUCUGAGAGGACGAUCAGCCACACCGGAACUGAGACACGGUCCGGACUCCUACGGGAGGCAGCAGGUGGGGAAUAUUGGACAAUGGGCGAAAGCCUGAUCCAGCGACGCCGCGUGGG